GUGGGGAAUUUUGGACAAUGGGCGCAAGCCUGAUCCAGCAAUGCCGCGUGUGUGAAGAAGGCCUUCGGGUUGUAAAGCACUUUUGUCCGGAAAGAAAUGGCCUGGGUUAAUACCCCGGGUCGAUGACGGUACCGGAAGAAUAAGCACCGGCUAACUACGUGCCAGCAGCCGCGGUAAUACGUAGGGUGCGAGCGUUAAUCGGAAUUACUGGGCGUAAAGCGUGCGCAGGCGGCGAUGCAAGACAGAUGUGAAAUCCCCGGGCUCAACCUGGGAACUGCAUUUGUGACUGCAUGGCUAGAGUGCGUCAGAGGGGGGUGGAAUUCCGCGUGUAGCAGUGAAAUGCGUAGAUAUGCGGAGGAACACCGAUGGCGAAGGCAAUCCCCUGGGCCUGCACUGACGCUCAUGCACGAAAGCGUGGGGAGCAAACAGGAUUAGAUACCCGGGUAGUCC
This 450-nucleotide ribosomal RNA is filed under the name uncultured bacterium. RNAcentral describes it as "partial 16S ribosomal RNA". It matches the Rfam family "Bacterial small subunit ribosomal RNA", at positions 354 to 796 of the family's 1533-position model. The record is from RNAcentral.